This 287-nucleotide ribosomal RNA is filed under the name uncultured Campylobacter sp. Its description in RNAcentral is "partial 16S ribosomal RNA". It matches the Rfam family "Bacterial small subunit ribosomal RNA", at positions 179 to 486 of the family's 1533-position model. The record is from RNAcentral. Lineage: Bacteria; Pseudomonadati; Campylobacterota; Epsilonproteobacteria; Campylobacterales; Campylobacteraceae.
CUGCUUAACACAAGUUGAGUAGGGAAAGUUUUUCGGUGUAGGAUGGGACUAUAUAGUAUCAGCUAGUUGGUGAGGUAAUGGCUCACCAAGGCUAUGACGCUUAACUGGUCUGAGAGGAUGAUCAGUCACGCUGGAACUGAGACACGGUCCAGACUCCUACGGGAGGCAGCAGUAGGGAAUAUUGCGCAAUGGGGGAAACCCUGACGCAGCAACGCCGCGUGGAGGAUGACACUUUUCGGAGCGUAAACUCCUUUUCUUGGGGAAGAAUUCUGACGGUACCUAAGGAA